CAGGCCCGUUCCACUCGGUCGUGAGAUGUUGGGUUAAGUCCCGCAACGAGCGCAACCCUUUUCCUUACUUGCCAUCGGGUCAUGCCGGGAACUUUAAGGAUACUGCCAGUGACAAACUGGAGGAAGGCGGGGACGACGUCAAGUCAUCAUGGCCCUUACGACCAGGGCUACACACGUGCUACAAUGGUCGGUACAAAGGGUUGCUACCUAGCGAUAGGAUGCUAAUCUCAAAAAGCCGAUCGUAGUCCGGAUUGGAGUCUGCAACUCGACUCCAUGAAGUCGGAAUCGCUAGUAAUCGCGGAUCAGAAUGCCGCGGUGAAUACGUUCCCGGGCCUUGUACACACCGCCCGUCACACCAUGGGAGUUUGUUGCACCAGAAGUAGGUAGUCUAACCGCAAGGAGGACGCUACCACAAGG
RNAcentral lists this ribosomal RNA (417 nucleotides) under bacterium 14S314. RNAcentral describes it as "bacterial SSU rRNA". It matches the Rfam family "Bacterial small subunit ribosomal RNA", at positions 1044 to 1462 of the family's 1533-position model. The record is from RNAcentral.